Molecule: ribosomal RNA, 427 nt
Filed under: uncultured Methanosarcinaceae archaeon
Lineage: Archaea; Methanobacteriati; Methanobacteriota; Methanomicrobia; Methanosarcinales; Methanosarcinaceae
Description: bacterial SSU rRNA
Rfam family: Archaeal small subunit ribosomal RNA
Source: RNAcentral
UGACCUACGGGAGGCUGCAGGCGCGAAAACUUUACAAUGCGGGAAACCGCGAUAAGGGGACACUGAGUGCCAGUACCAUGUACUGGCUGUCCGCAUGUAUAAAUCACAUGUGUCAGCAAGGGCCGGGCAAGACCGGUGCCAGCCGCCGCGGUAACACCGGCGGCCCGAGUGGUGGCCAUUAUUAUUGGGUCUAAAGGGUCCGUAGCCGGUUUGAUCAGUCUUCCGGGAAAUCUGACAGCUUAACUGUUAGGCUUCUGGGGGAUACUGUCAGACUUGGAACCGGGAGAGGUAAGAGGUACUACAGGGGUAGGAGUGAAAUCUUGUAAUCCUUGUGGGACCACCAGUGGCGAAGGCGUCUUACCAGAACGGGUUCGACGGUGAGGGACGAAAGCUGGGGGCACGAACCGGAUUAGAUACCCGGGUAGUC